UUAAGUCAGAUGUGAAAUCCCCGGGCUCAACCUGGAACUGCAUCUGAUACUGGCAAGCUUGAGUCUCGUAGAGGGGGUAGAAUUCCAGGUGUAGCGGUGAAAUGCGUAGAGAUCUGGAGGAAUACCGGUGGCGAAGGCGGCCCCCUGGACGAAGACUGACGCUCAGGUGCGAAAGCGUGGGGAGCAAACAGGAUUAGAUACCCUGGUAGUCCACGCCGUAAACGAUGUCGACUUGGAGGUUGUGCCCUUGAGGCGUGGCUUCCGGAGCUAACGCGUUAAGUCGACCGCCUGGGGAGUACGGCCGCAAGGUUAAAACUCAAAUGAAUUGACGGGGGCCCGCACAAGCGGUGGAGCAUGUGGUUUAAUUCGAUGCAACGCGAAGAACCUUACCUGGUCUUGACAUCCACGGAAGUUUUCAGAGAUGAGAAUGUGCCUUCGGGAACCGUGAGACAGGUGCUGCAUGGCUGUCGUCAGCUCGUGUUGUGAAAUGUUGGGUUAAGUCCCGCAACGAGCGCAACCCUUAUCCUUUGUUGCCAGCGGUCCGGCCGGGAACUCAAAGGAGACUGCCAGUGAUAAACUGGAGGAAGGUGGGGAUGACGUCAAGUCAUCAUGGCCCUUACGACCAGGGCUACACACGUGCUACAAUGGCGCAUACAAAGAGAAGCGACCUCGCGAGAGCAAGCGGACCUCAUAAAGUGCGUCGUAGUCCGGAUUGGAGUCUGCAACUCGACUCCAUGAAGUCGGAAUCGCUAGUAAUCGUGGAUCAGAAUGCCACGGUGAAUACGUUCCCGGGCCUUGUACACACCGCCCGUCACACCAUGGGAGUGGGUUGCAAAAGAAGUAGGUAGCUUAACCUUCGGGAGGGCGCUUACCACUUUGUGAUUCAUGACUGGGGUGAAGUCGUAACAAGGUAACCGUAGGGGAACCUGCGGUUG
RNAcentral lists this ribosomal RNA (935 nucleotides) under Escherichia coli. RNAcentral describes it as "bacterial SSU rRNA". It matches the Rfam family "Bacterial small subunit ribosomal RNA", at positions 583 to 1520 of the family's 1533-position model. Lineage: Bacteria; Pseudomonadati; Pseudomonadota; Gammaproteobacteria; Enterobacterales; Enterobacteriaceae. The record is from RNAcentral.